GGAGCUUGCUCCGGUGGAUUAGUGGCGAACGAGUGAGUAACACGUGAGUAACCUGCCCUUGACUCUGGGAUAACUGCGGGAAACUGUAGCUAAUACCGGAUACGACCCUCGGAGGCAUCUCCUGAGGGUGGAAAGAAUUUCGGUCAAGGAUGGACUCGCGGCCUAUCAGCUAGUUGGUGAGGUAAAGGCUCACCAAGGCGACGACGGGUAGCCGGCCUGAGAGGGUGACCGGCCACACUGGGACUGAGACACGGCCCAGACUCCUACGGGAGGCAGCAGUGGGGAAUAUUGCAUAAUGGGCGCAAGCCUGAUGCAGCAACGCCGCGUGAGGGACGACGGCCUUCGGGUUGUAAACCUCUUUUAGUAGGGAAGAAGCGAAAGUGACGGUACCUGCAGAAAAAGCACCGGCUAACUACGUG
Molecule: ribosomal RNA, 419 nt
Filed under: uncultured bacterium
Lineage: Bacteria
Description: bacterial SSU rRNA
Rfam family: Bacterial small subunit ribosomal RNA
Source: RNAcentral